This 253-nucleotide ribosomal RNA is filed under the name uncultured bacterium. Its description in RNAcentral is "partial 16S ribosomal RNA". It matches the Rfam family "Bacterial small subunit ribosomal RNA", at positions 524 to 776 of the family's 1533-position model. The record is from RNAcentral.
GACGUAGGGCGCGAGCGUUGUCCGGAUUUAUUGGGCGUAAAGAGCUCGUAGGCGGCUUGUCGCGUCGUCCGUGAAAACUUGGGGCUCAACCCCAAGCUUGCGGUCGAUACGGGCAGGCUAGAGUUCGGUAGGGGAGACUGGAAUUCCUGGUGUAGCGGUGAAAUGCGCAGAUAUCAGGAGGAACACCGGUGGCGAAGGCGGCUCUCUGGGACGGUACUGACGCUGAGACGCGAAAGCGUGGGGAGCGAACAGG